RNAcentral lists this transfer RNA (104 nucleotides) under Colletotrichum higginsianum. Its description in RNAcentral is "tRNA CH063_16266". It matches the Rfam family "tRNA". From Rfam's summary of the family: Transfer RNA (tRNA) molecules are approximately 80 nucleotides in length. Their secondary structure includes four short double-helical elements and three loops (D, anti-codon, and T loops). Further hydrogen bonds mediate the characteristic L-shaped molecular structure. tRNAs have two regions of fundamental functional importance: the anti-codon, which is responsible for specific mRNA codon recognition, and the 3' end, to which the tRNAs corresponding amino acid is attached (by aminoacyl-tRNA synthetases). tRNAs cope with the degeneracy of the genetic code in two manners: having more than one tRNA (with a specific anti-codon) for a particular amino acid; and 'wobble' base-pairing, i.e. permitting non-standard base-pairing at the 3rd anti-codon position. The record is from Rfam by way of RNAcentral. RNAcentral also lists the same sequence under 1 other name. Lineage: Eukaryota; Fungi; Ascomycota; Sordariomycetes; Glomerellales; Glomerellaceae.
GGUCUGGUGGUGUAGUUGGUUAUCACGUCAGUCUAACAUAUAGAUGAUUUGAAUCGUCUGUUUGGGAACACUGAAGGUCUCCGGUUCAAGUCCGGGCUAGAUCA